AGCAGCAGACAAUCGCGCUUUGAAAACUUUAUUUUACGAAGAAAAUAUCUCGGCGCCACCGCCACGCCCAGAGUCGAACCGAAUGAUCGAGGGACGACGGACAGCCGGCCGCAGAUAUUUUCCCACCAGCCGGCUCUUUGAUUUCUCUCUGAUGCGUCCUGAUUGGGGAAUGGAACACGGAUCUGCAUGCCAGUUGCCACUUUGUUUGGCGGCUCGCGCGCAGUUGGUCCUCCUCCCUCUCUCGCUUGACCUGUUGUCCAUAUGAUAUGCCAGCACCUGGCAAUGCAAGGGCAAGCUGAAGCUGAAGGAUUGCUGAUUUGCCGUUACAGAUGGACCUAUACGUUUCGUGGUUGCUCAAUGCUCCGUGGUGAAUCGGUGAUUGGUGACCCCGGCUAGGCGGCGCGUGAUGGGCGAACGCGGCUGGUGGACAAGACGUGGAUCUCGGAUCAGAUUUUCGCCAAUGGCGGUCGCGCGCGCCAGUGGAUCGCCGGCAUCUGGGCUCUUUUAUUAUUAUUAUUAUUUAUGCAAUUGAUCAGGGCAAGUGGUCACGGAGUAUUGAUUUAUCUGGAAUACUAUUGACGUGUGAGACAACAAUCAUGGAGUUGAUUUGCGUCAGUGGUCACAUACAGUGCAAUUGGGCCAUUCACAGUGUUGUGGUGAUUGGUGAAUGGUGA
Molecule: long non-coding RNA, 674 nt
Filed under: Sorghum bicolor (sorghum)
Lineage: Eukaryota; Viridiplantae; Streptophyta; Magnoliopsida; Poales; Poaceae
Description: long non-coding RNA (SBIC_LNC016908)
Source: RNAcentral